This 465-nucleotide ribosomal RNA is filed under the name uncultured bacterium. RNAcentral's name for it is "bacterial SSU rRNA". It matches the Rfam family "Bacterial small subunit ribosomal RNA", at positions 338 to 795 of the family's 1533-position model. The record is from RNAcentral.
CCUACGGGUUGCAGCAGUAGGGAAUCUUCCACAAUGGGCGCAAGCCUGAUGGAGCAACGCCGCGUGUGUGAUGAAGGGUUUCGGCUCGUAAAACACUGUUAUAAGAGAAGAACGGCACUGAGAGUAACUGUUCAGUGUGUGACGGUAUCUUACCAGAAAGGAACGGCUAAAUACGUGCCAGCAGCCGCGGUAAUACGUAUGUUCCAAGCGUUAUCCGGAUUUAUUGGGCGUAAAGCGAGCGCAGACGGUUAUUUAAGUCUGAAGUGAAAGCCCUCAGCUCAACUGAGGAAUUGCUUUGGAAACUGGAUGACUUGAGUGCAGUAGAGGAAAGUGGAACUCCAUGUGUAGCGGUGAAAUGCGUAGAUAUAUGGAAGAACACCAGUGGCGAAGGCGGCUUUCUGGACUGUAACUGACGUUGAGGCUCGAAAGUGUGGGUAGCAAACAGGAUUAGAUACCCUUGUAGUC